Molecule: ribosomal RNA, 478 nt
Filed under: uncultured bacterium
Lineage: Bacteria
Description: partial 16S ribosomal RNA
Rfam family: Bacterial small subunit ribosomal RNA
Source: RNAcentral
GACGAACGCUGGCGGCGUGCUUAACACAUGCAAGUCGAACGGUAAGGCCCUUCGGGGUACACGAGUGGCGAACGGGUGAGUAACACGUGGGUGAUCUGCCCUGCACUUCGGGAUAAGCCUGGGCAACAGGGUCUACUACCGGAUAGGACCACUGCCUGUAUGGGUGGUGGUGGCAAGCUUUUUCGGUGUGGGAUGGGUCCGCGGCCUAUCAGCUUGUUGGUGGGGUGAUGGCCUACCAAGGCGACGACGGGUAGCCGGCCUGAGAGGGGGACCAGCCACACUGGGACUGAGAUACGGCCCAGACUCCUACGGGAGGCAGCAGUGGAGAAUAUUGCACAAUGGGCGCAAGCCUGAUGCAGCGACGCCGCGUGAGGGAUGACGGCCUUCGGGUUGUAAACCUCUUUCAGCACCGACGAAGCGCAAGUGACGGUAGGUGCAGAAGAAGGACCGGCCAACUACGUGCCAGCCGCCGCAGUAA